Molecule: ribosomal RNA, 245 nt
Filed under: uncultured Ignavibacterium sp.
Lineage: Bacteria; Pseudomonadati; Ignavibacteriota; Ignavibacteria; Ignavibacteriales; Ignavibacteriaceae
Description: partial 16S ribosomal RNA
Rfam family: Bacterial small subunit ribosomal RNA
Source: RNAcentral
UACGUAGGGGGCAAGCGUUGUCCGGAUUCACUGGGUGUAAAGGGCGCGUAGGCGGGUUAGCAAGUCAGAGGUGAAAUCUCCCGGCUCAACCGGGAAACUGCCUUUGAAACUGUUAAUCUUGAGUGCGGAAGAGAGAGACGGAAUUCCAGGUGUAGCGGUGAAAUGCGUAGAUAUCUGGAGGAACACCGGUUGCGAAGGCGGUCUCUUGGUCCGUAACUGACGCUCAGGCGCGAAAGCGUGGGUAG